This 895-nucleotide ribosomal RNA is filed under the name Cephalotrichum robustum. Its description in RNAcentral is "partial 28S ribosomal RNA". It matches the Rfam family "Eukaryotic large subunit ribosomal RNA", at positions 40 to 961 of the family's 3401-position model. The record is from RNAcentral. Lineage: Eukaryota; Fungi; Ascomycota; Sordariomycetes; Microascales; Microascaceae.
AUAUCAAUAAGCGGAGGAAAAAGAAAMCAACAGGGGAUUACCUCAGUAACGGCGAGUGAAGCGGUAACAGCUCAAAUUGAAAUCUGGUCCCCUCUGGGGGCCCGAGUUGUAAUUUGAAGAGGAUGCUUUUGGCGAGGCGCCUUCCGAGUGCCCUGGAACGGGACGCCACAGAGGGUGAGAGCCCCGUAUGGUAGGACGCCGAGCCUCUGUAAAGCUCCUUCGACGAGUCGAGUAGUUUGGGAAUGCUGCUCAAAAUGGGAGGUAAACCCCUUCUAAAGCUAAAUAUUGGCCAGAGACCGAUAGCGCACAAGUAGAGUGAUCGAAAGAUGAAAAGCACUUUGAAAAGAGAGUUAAACAGCACGUGAAAUUGUUGAAAGGGAAGCGCUUGCGACCAGACUUGCGCCCGUCGGAUCAACCGUCCCUCGUGGGCGGCGCACUCCGGCGGGCUCAGGCCAGCAUCAGUUUUCCCGGGGGGAGAAAGGCGGUGGGAAUGUGGCUCUUCGGAGUGUUAUAGCCCUCCGCGUAAUGCCCCCGGGGGGACUGAGGACCGCGCGUAAGCAAGGAUGCUGGCGUAAUGGUCGUCAGCGACCCGUCUUGAAACACGGACCAAGGAGUCGUCCUAAUAUGCGAGUGUACGGGUGUAAAACCCCUGCGCGUAAUGAAAGUGAACGGAGGUGAGAGCUUCGGCGCAUCAUCGACCGAUCCUGAUGUUCUCGGAUGGAUUUGAGUAAGAGCAUAUUGGGCCGGACCCGAAAGAAGGUGAACUAUGCCUGUAUAGGGUGAAGCCAGAGGAAACUCUGGUGGAGGCUCGCAGCGGUUCUGACGUGCAAAUCGAUCGUCAAAUAUGGGCAUGGGGGCGAAAGACUAAUCGAACCUUCUAGUAGCUGGUUUCCGC